UCGGAUCAGGUAGGGAUACCCGCUGAACUUAAGCAUAUCAAUAAGCGGAGGACCUGAG
This 58-nucleotide ribosomal RNA is filed under the name Penicillium sp. GI734. Its description in RNAcentral is "partial large subunit ribosomal RNA". The record is from RNAcentral. Lineage: Eukaryota; Fungi; Ascomycota; Eurotiomycetes; Eurotiales; Aspergillaceae.